Molecule: ribosomal RNA, 1374 nt
Filed under: uncultured bacterium
Lineage: Bacteria
Description: 16S ribosomal RNA
Rfam family: Bacterial small subunit ribosomal RNA
Source: RNAcentral
UGAACGCUGGCGGCAGGCCUAACACAUGCAAGUCGAACGGUAACAGGAAGCAGCUUGCUGCUUCGCUGACGAGUGGCGGACGGGUGAGUAAUGUCUGGGAAACUGCCUGAUGGAGGGGGAUAACUACUGGAAACGGUAGCUAAUACCGCAUAAUGUCGCAAGACCAAAGAGGGGGACCUUCGGGCCUCUUGCCAUCGGAUGUGCCCAGAUGGGAUUAGCUAGUAGGUGGGGUAACGGCUCACCUAGGCGACGAUCCCUAGCUGGUCUGAGAGGAUGACCAGCCACACUGGAACUGAGACACGGUCCAGACUCCUACGGGAGGCAGCAGUGGGGAAUAUUGCACAAUGGGCGCAAGCCUGAUGCAGCCAUGCCGCGUGUAUGAAGAAGGCCUUCGGGUUGUAAAGUACUUUCAGCGGGGAGGAAGGUGUUGAGGUUAAUAACCUCAGCAAUUGACGUUACCCGCAGAAGAAGCACCGGCUAACUCCGUGCCAGCAGCCGCGGUAAUACGGAGGGUGCAAGCGUUAAUCGGAAUUACUGGGCGUAAAGCGCACGCAGGCGGUCUGUCAAGUCGGAUGUGAAAUCCCCGGGCUCACCCUGGGAACUGCAUUCGAAACUGGCAGGCUAGAGUCUUGUAGAGGGGGGUAGAAUUCCAGGUGUAGCGGUGAAAUGCGUAGAGAUCUGGAGGAAAUACCGGUGGCGAAGGCGGCCCCCUGGACAAAGACUGACGCUCAGGUGCGAAAGCGUGGGGGAGCAAACAGGAUUAGAUACCCUGGUAGUCCACGCCGUAAAACGAUGUCGACUUGGAGGUUGUGCCCUUGAGGCGUGGCUUCCGGAGCUAACGCGUUAAGUCGACCGCCUGGGGAGUACGGCCGCAAGGUUAAAACUCAAAUGAAUUGACGGGGGCCCGCACAAGCGGUGGAGCAUGUGGUUUAAUUCGAUGCAACGCGAAGAACCUUACCUACUCUUGACAUCCAGAGAACUUUCCAGAGAUGGAUUGGUGCCUUCGGGAACUCUGAGACAGGUGCUGCAUGGCUGUCGUCAGCUCGUGUUGUGAAAUGUUGGGUUAAGUCCCGCAACGAGCGCAACCCUUAUCCUUUGUUGCCAGCGGUUAGGCCGGGAACUCAAAGGAGACUGCCAGUGAUAAACUGGAGGAAGGUGGGGAUGACGUCAAGUCAUCAUGGCCCUUACGAGUAGGGCUACACACGUGCUACAAUGGCGCAUACAAAGAGAAGCGACCUCGCGAGAGCAAGCGGACCUCAUAAAGUGCGUCGUAGUCCGGAUUAGAGUCUGCAACUCGACUCCAUGAAGUCGGAAUCGCUAGUAAUCGUGGAUCAGAAUGCCACGGUGAAUACGUUCCCGGGCCUUGUACACACC